RNAcentral lists this ribosomal RNA (1163 nucleotides) under Clostridioides difficile. Its description in RNAcentral is "bacterial LSU rRNA". It matches the Rfam family "Bacterial large subunit ribosomal RNA", at positions 147 to 1323 of the family's 2925-position model. Lineage: Bacteria; Bacillati; Bacillota; Clostridia; Peptostreptococcales; Peptostreptococcaceae. The record is from RNAcentral.
AGUAUCAUUAAGUGAAUACAUAGCUUAAUGAGGGGAACUCAGGGAACUGAAACAUCUAAGUACCUGAAGGAAGAGAAAGAAAUUCGAUUCCGUAAGUAGCGGCGAGCGAACGCGGAUUAGCCCAAACCAAUAAAGUUUUCUUUAUUGGGGUUGCGGACAUAUCAUAACGAAGAGGUAUCGUAAUUGAAGAGGUUUGGAAAGACCCACCACAGAAGGUAAUAGUCCUGUAUGUUAAACGAGAAGACUUUAGAUAUGAUCCAGAGUACCACGGGACACGUGAAACCCUGUGGGAAGCAGGAGGGACCACCCUCCAAGGCUAAAUACUACCUAGUGACCGAUAGCGUAUAGUACCGUGAGGGAAAGGUGAAAAGAACCCCGGGAGGGGAGUGAAAUAGAACCUGAAACCCUGCACUUACAAGCUGUGGAAGCACAUUUCUUGUGUGACCGCGUACUUUUUGUAGAACGGGCCAACGAGUUACGUUAAGUAGCAAGGUUAAGCACUUAAGGUGCGGAGCCGUAGCGAAAGCGAGUUUUAACUGAGCGUUCAGUUACUUGACGUAGACCCGAAACCGGGCGACCUACCCAUGAGCAGGAUGAAGCGAAAGUAAAAUUUCGUGGAGGUCCGAACCCACGAGCGUUGAAAAGCUCGGGGAUGACUUGUGGGUAGCGGUGAAAUUCCAAUCGAGCCCGGAGAUAGCUGGUUCUCCCCGAAAUAGCUUUAGGGCUAGCCUCAAGGUGAGAGAUACGGAGGUAGAGCACUGAAUGUCCUAGGGGGUAUUGCACCUACCGAAGACUAUCAAACUCCGAAUGCCGUCAUCUUAUACUUGGGAGUCAGACUGUGGGUGAUAAGAUUCAUAGUCGAAAGGGCAACAGCCCAGAUCGUCAGCUAAGGUCCCUAAAUGUAAGUUAAGUGGUAAAGGAUGUGGGAUUGCACAGACAACCAGGAUGUUGGCUUAGAAGCAGCCACUCAUUCAAAGAGUGCGUAAUAGCUCACUGGUCGAGUGAUCCUGCGCCGAAGAUUUCCGGGGCUAAAACUUACUACCGAAGCUACGGCAUCAGUAAUGAUGGGUAGGGGAGCUUCCCAUACGGGUUGAAGCAUGACCGUAAGGACAUGUGGACAGUAUGGGAGUGAGAAUGUUGGCAUGAGUAGCGAGAUGUGGGUG